This 301-nucleotide ribosomal RNA is filed under the name uncultured bacterium. RNAcentral's name for it is "partial 16S ribosomal RNA". It matches the Rfam family "Bacterial small subunit ribosomal RNA", at positions 509 to 807 of the family's 1533-position model. The record is from RNAcentral.
CAGUCGCCGCGGUAAUACGAAGGGGGCUAGCGUUGUUCGGAUUUACUGGGCGUAAAGCGCACGUAGGCGGAUCGAUCAGUCAGGGGUGAAAUCCCAGAGCUCAACUCUGGAACUGCCUUUGAUACUGUCGAUCUGGAGUAUGGAAGAGGUGAGUGGAAUUCCGAGUGUAGAGGUGAAGUUCGUAGAUAUUCGGAGGAACACCAGUGGCGAAGGCGGCUCACUGGUCCAUUACUGACGCUGAGGUGCGAAAGCGUGGGGAGCAAACAGGAUUAGAUACCCGAGCAGUCCCUGUCUCUUAUAC